This 268-nucleotide signal recognition particle RNA is filed under the name bacterium. Its description in RNAcentral is "signal recognition particle sRNA large type". It matches the Rfam family "Bacterial large signal recognition particle RNA". From Rfam's summary of the family: The signal recognition particle (SRP) is a universally conserved ribonucleoprotein involved in the co-translational targeting of proteins to membranes. Archaeal SRP consists of a 7S RNA and homologues of the eukaryotic SRP19 and SRP54 proteins. The record is from RNAcentral.
CUGCACUAAGCGGGGAGCUGGCGGUGCCCUGAACCCGAAAUCCGCCAUAUGCGGGGCUGAAUUCCCGCCAAGAGCUCUUCCCUUGUGGUCAGGGCUCUUCUGGAGGGCGAUGAAGGUCGGGUCCCGAAGGCGAGGCUCCUCUCUAAACCCCGCCAGGUCCGGAAGGAAGCAACGGUAAGGAGCAGGGGCAGCGCGCUCGGCAAACCUGGCUGGAGCCUUAAGGAAGGGAUAACCUGCUGGAAGGGGAGUAGCGAAGGUGGGUGUGCAG